This 237-nucleotide ribosomal RNA is filed under the name uncultured bacterium. RNAcentral describes it as "partial 16S ribosomal RNA". It matches the Rfam family "Bacterial small subunit ribosomal RNA", at positions 976 to 1217 of the family's 1533-position model. The record is from RNAcentral.
AGGGCUUAAAUGUAGGCCGACAGGCCCGGAAACGGGCUUUUCUUCGGACGGCUUACAAGGUGCUGCAUGGUUGUCGUCAGCUCGUGCCGUGAGGUGUCAGGUUAAGUCCUAUAACGAGCGCAACCCCUGUCGCUAGUUGCCAGCGAGUAAUGUCGGGAACUCUAGCGAGACUGCCAGUGCAAACUGCGAGGAAGGUGGGAUGACGUNAAUCAUCACGGCCCUUACGCCCUGGGCUAC